RNAcentral lists this long non-coding RNA (3818 nucleotides) under Musa acuminata (dwarf banana). Its description in RNAcentral is "long non-coding RNA (MACU_LNC011316)". Lineage: Eukaryota; Viridiplantae; Streptophyta; Magnoliopsida; Zingiberales; Musaceae. The record is from RNAcentral.
GUAACUUAUUUUUAAGAUUUGGGAGAUUUGUUCAAAAAAGAAUCUGAGGACCUAUAUGUAAACCCUGAGGACCUAAUCGUGAAUAUAAUAAAAAUAAGGACUAAACUGCAAAAUGCACAAAAUAACAAAUCCCACCGCUUAAGCCUCUCUGCCUUCGUUCUUAAGGAACCAGAGAAGGCAGCUGCUGUGUGGAAGAACAGAUAAAGAAAGAAAGAAGAAGAGAAAAACAAAGGGGAAGAAGAAGAAGAAAAAUUGAGGCUUUGAGGUUUCUUACUCAAUCUUCUCAAUUGGGGGUCAAAAUUCUCAAAGGCAAGUGUUCUAACCCUAUCCUACAGAAAUAUUAGUCUCUGUUCUUAUGUUGAUUCAAAAUAAUAUGAAGGAUUUCUAUUUAGAAACUGAUAUGUCUCUCUUUGAACAUAGAACCAUGGAUUCUGAAAUUUUUCGGUAAACUGACCCCUAUAUACGGUUCCAGCUAUAAUUUUUAGUACGAAAUGUAGAUUUGAGCAGGCCUAGUUUGUUUGAAAUUAGACUCUUAUAUCUUUCUUUUGAUACAAAUUUUGAAGAUUUUGAAUACCGAAUACUUACCCAAACGUCUGUUUCAAACGAGCCAAUAGAUGCUGCAAAACAGGGAUCAAAAUUUCUGACCUUUCGGUACUAAAAUACCUAUAAGUUCCUGUGGGAAAUUCUGAUUUGUACAAAACUGACUUCAUUCGAAACUAGACUUGUAAACCUUUCUUUUGACAUAUAGAGUGAUAAAUUUGGAAUUCAUAUGCCUAUCCUGUUAUCUGUUGAACCCGACCUUAUGAAUUCUACAGAACAGUGAUUUUGUUUUGACCUUUGAUUACAAAAUCCAUGGUAACUCCGUGUUGGAAACCCUGUUUCAUAUGAAAUUUGUUCCAUCAGAAUAUAGAUUGACAUAUUGUUCGACCAUAGCUUUCUUGAGGGUAUUGGAGCAUAAUUGACAAUCUGAAAUAAUUGUUCAAUGUGCCUUUUGAUUUCUGCCAGAAAUCGAACUUGGAUCGAUUUCGCAUCUCUUGUUUUCAUUCGCUUGGGAAUAUAUUUCAUUCAGUUUCCAUCACUCAAUUGAGGCUUAUAUUAAUGCUUGAAUUCUCAUUUGCUCUUGUCUAUAAACUAUUUCCAUUCUUGAACAUAUUAUGUAACUUUUAUGUUAUAUCACACUGACUCGUAAAGGCACAUGUACGUUUUGUUGUUCCGCGUGUGCUUCCGAUAUGUGCUAUUUAUUGUUCAUACUGCCUUUUGUACUCUGGUAUUUGUGGGAUUAUCUGGACCUUUGCCAGAAAUGGUAAAGGGUAUGUGCAUAGAGCCUGAGAUGCUCUGUCGGCCCCCCUUUGACUUCACCUAGACGUGGGUGGAUGGAGCUCCCAGACGUGGGAGACUUCUGUCUGGUGGUCAUUCAGAAAUGGAUGAUUCACAUUCUGUCUACGAUCCCACUGCACCUUCUUUAUGUUUGAUAUGAUAUCCAGAGCUUUGGUUAUAUGUUUCUGUACAUGCUUUGGAUAAGAAUUAUAUGAAUGCAAUGUCAAAUACGACGUUUGAGCUUCUGUUUGGUAUUUGCUAUUGAUAUGCUCCGAAAUGUUCCAUACGCCGUUGAUAUGCUUUGGAACAUUUUAUACGCCACUGAUAAGCUCCGAAACGUUUCAUUUGUUGUUGUUAUACUCUGAAACGUUUCAUUCGUUGUUGAUAUACUCCGAAAGAUUUCAUCUGUUAUUGGCAUGCUCCGAAAUGUUCCAUAUGCCGUUGAUAUGCUCCGGAACAUUUUAUACUCUAUUGAUAUGCUCCAAUUACUCUAUGAUCUGUCUGUUAAGAACCAAAAAUGUCGAUUGAAAUGAUAUGUGUGAUUCUACACCUAAUGAGAUUAGGUUUAUGGAUUCUUAUAUUCUGCCUUUCAUUAUGAAACCUUAUUUGUUUGGAAAUUUCCCUCUUUUACCAUGGAUAUGUUAGUCACUUGCUGAGCUCUAUAUGCUCACCUCGUUGUUGUAUAAAUUUUUCAGGAUAGCCUGUCGCUCGCUUAAAUGAUUAAGAUUGGGCUGAGGCAGUGGAGAGCUAAAAGACUUUGGGCAGAUCUUUAAUAGUAUAUAUAUUUUUGUUGUAUAAGUACACUCUGCAUCUAAUGAAAUGUUGACGAUGAAUCUAACCUUGUGGAUUUUGUAUAAGUUUAAAAGACUCCUUUUGAUGUCUAGGAUUUUGGAAUGUUAAGUUAAAUUCGUGUAAUGAUAUGAACUUAUGGUAAAUGUUGGUUUUGUGAUUGUAUAGACUCCCAUACUGGUGAAUUUAUGUCGUAGUUAUUAUUUUGGUGAGUUGGGUUCAGAUUUUAUGAAUCAUCGAAUGAUAUGUUGUAUGUUUAUGAACUGCAUAGGGUUUAUAAAUUUGUAGAUUAUAGAGGUGAAAUUUUGAUCUGAAUGUUUUCUUAGUGACCUCAAAUGUGUGAUUGGAUCCUGGAUGGAUUGGUUUUUGAUGAAAAUUUUAAAAUCAUGGAUAUUUUUUUGAGGGACGUGACAGAAUGGGUGGGGUAUUUCUAGGCCCCAAACCAGUUCAAAUUUGGAGCUCAAAACUGUCAAUUCCCGAAAUUUCGGGAUCAGGUGGUUGCACCUCCUGACUGGAGCGGUUGCACUGCUUAGUAGAGCUCGAAGACUGAGCCUCUGGGCGGUGCCACCUUUGUCAGGGGCGGUUGCACGUCUCUGCUAGAGCUCGAAGACCGAGCUCAGGCGAUUGCACCUCCUGACUGGGGCGGUUGCACUGCCUGCUAGAGCUCGAAGACUAAGCUCAAGCGGUGCUAACUCCUGUCAGGGGAGGUUGCACCGCCAAGUCUCGCUCGGAGACUGAGCCCAAGCGGUGCUACCUCCUGGCUGGGGCGGUUGCACCGCCCAGUCUCACUCGGAGACAUAGCCUAGGCGGUGCUACCUCCUGGCUUGGGCGGUUGCACCUCCCACAGCAAUCAGGGUCCGAAUAGGUAGAUCCAUUCGGCGCAAUUUGGGUUUUUCAGGGGCCCAAUUGCCCCAAGAUUAAGCUAAUGGGAUCACCUCUCAUUUCCAACUUAAUCAUUGUGCUAACUACGAUAAAUCCUAAGACAAUUUCUGCAGCUUGCUCCGGUGCGUCAAUCGCUUCUUCCAACGAGUUUCCGGCGAACUUCCGUUGAUCAUCCGAUGAACCCUCGGUGAUGCUCCUGCGGACUUUCGGCAAACUCCUGGACUUGUGACGAUAUACUUGGUGAGUUCCGACGAGCUUCUUUUGCAAGCUUAUGGACUUCUCGGAUUUGUUCCCGCAGAACCCCGACGACUGUCCGAACUUCCGUCGAACUCUCGAACUCCCAAUGUGAUCAUUGUCUUGACUCCAGCGCAACUCCUACUGCAUGUCUUACUUUCAUCGUAGUUAAUCCUGCACAUGUAAACAAAACUUCAAUCUGUAAUAUCCCUCACUUUUGAAAAUUAUUAAUAAAGAUUUAUUUAUAAAUCGGGGGACCUAUAUGUAAAUAUGAAAAUUUCAAGGACUAAAUUGCUAAGUUAUAAAAUGAAAAGAAAAUAAAGAAAACCAAAAAUUUCGGUUUUAUCCCACCGCCUCCCACGCUCUCUCUGUUUCUUCGAGAAACAGAGAAAAGCGGUGGGGCGUGGGGAGAAGAAGAGAAGUAGUGGGAGAAGAGAAGAAGAGGGAAAAGAGAGGGAAGAGGGAGAGGAGCGAGAGGUGGCAGCAGCUAGGGCUGCAGCACCUCUGUUUCCUGCAGGUGGAAACAGAGGAGAGGUGUGGGGCAUUCGAAGAGGAGAAGAAGAAGAAGAGGAAGAGAAGAAGAAGAUGAAGCAGGA